UACGAAGGGGGCGAGCGUUGUUCGGAAUUACUGGGCGUAAAGGGCGCGUAGGCGGCCGAUCAAGUUAGAUGUGAAAGUUCUGGGCUUAACCUGGGGACUGCAUUUGAUACUGAUUGGCUUGAAUUCGGGAGAGGAAAGCGGAAUUCCCAGUGUAGCGGUGAAAUGCGUAGAUAUUGGGAGGAACACCGGUGGCGAAGGCGGCUUUCUGGACAAUCACUGACGCUGAGGCGCGAAAGCCAGGGGAGCAAACGGG
RNAcentral lists this ribosomal RNA (253 nucleotides) under uncultured prokaryote. RNAcentral describes it as "partial 16S ribosomal RNA". It matches the Rfam family "Bacterial small subunit ribosomal RNA", at positions 524 to 776 of the family's 1533-position model. The record is from RNAcentral.